RNAcentral lists this non-coding RNA (24 nucleotides) under Arabidopsis thaliana (thale cress). The record is from RNAcentral. Lineage: Eukaryota; Viridiplantae; Streptophyta; Magnoliopsida; Brassicales; Brassicaceae.
UGGCAUGGUCUACAGCAGAGGGCA